UUCUUCGGAAGUCAGUGGCAGACGGGUGAGUAACACGUGGGAACGUGCCCUUCGGUUCGGAAUAACUCACGGAAACUUGAGCUAAUACCGGGAUACGCCCUUAUGGGGAAAGGGUUUACUGCCGAAGGAUCGGCCCGCGUCUGAUUAGCUUGUUGGUGGGGUAACGGCCUACCAAGGCGACGAUCAGUAGCUGGUCUGAGAGGAUGAUCAGCCACACUGGGACUGAGACACGGCCCAGACUCCUACGGGAGGCAGCAGAAGGG
Molecule: ribosomal RNA, 263 nt
Filed under: uncultured Methylobacterium sp.
Lineage: Bacteria; Pseudomonadati; Pseudomonadota; Alphaproteobacteria; Hyphomicrobiales; Methylobacteriaceae
Description: partial 16S ribosomal RNA
Rfam family: Bacterial small subunit ribosomal RNA
Source: RNAcentral